Molecule: non-coding RNA, 108 nt
Filed under: Ornithinibacillus halophilus
Lineage: Bacteria; Bacillati; Bacillota; Bacilli; Caryophanales; Bacillaceae
Description: SAM-I sequence
Rfam family: SAM riboswitch aptamer (S box leader)
About the family: The SAM riboswitch is found upstream of a number of genes which code for proteins involved in methionine or cysteine biosynthesis in Gram-positive bacteria. The SAM riboswitch acts at the level of transcription termination control. The predicted structure consists of a complex stem-loop region followed by a single stem loop terminator region.
Source: Rfam by way of RNAcentral
CUCUUAUUCAGAGUCGGUGGAGGGACGGACCCUAUGAAACCCAGCAACCAUCACAUAAGGUGAAAAGGUGCUAACCUGAUGCAAGGAUAUUUCCUUGAACAAUAAGAG